RNAcentral lists this ribosomal RNA (274 nucleotides) under uncultured bacterium. RNAcentral's name for it is "partial 16S ribosomal RNA". It matches the Rfam family "Bacterial small subunit ribosomal RNA", at positions 523 to 796 of the family's 1533-position model. The record is from RNAcentral.
GUACGGAGGGUGCAAGCGUUACUCGGAAUCACUGGGCGUAAAGCGCGCGCAGGCGGCUUGAUAAGUUGGAUGUGAAAGCCUACGGCUCAACCGUAGAACUGCAUCCAAAACUGUCAAGCUAGAGUCUGGGAGGGGAAGAUGGAAUUAGUUGUGUAGGGGUAAAACCCGUAGAGAUAACUAGGAAUACCAAAAGCGAAGGCGAUCUUCUGGAACAGUACUGACGCCGAGGCGCGAAAGCGUGGGGAGCAAACAGGAUUAGAUACCCCAGUAGUCC